AUAUGGUCAAGUGAAGAAGCGCAUACGGUGGAUGCCUUGGCAGUCAGAGGCGAUGAAAGACGUGGUAGCCUGCGAAAAGCUUCGGGGAGUCGGCAAACAGACUUUGAUCCGGAGAUGUCUGAAUGGGGGAACCCAGCCAUCAUAAGAUGGUUAUCUUGUACUGAAUACAUAGGUGCAAGAGGCGAACCAGGGGAACUGAAACAUCUAAGUACCCUGAGGAAAAGAAAUCAACCGAGAUUCCCUUAGUAGUGGCGAGCGAACGGGGACUAGCCCUUAAGUGGCUUUGAGAUUAGCGGAACGCUCUGGAAAGUGCGGCCAUAGUGGGUGAUAGCCCUGUACGCGAAAAUCUCUUAGUCAUGAAAUCGAGUAGGACGGAGCACGAGAAACUUUGUCUGAAUAUGGGGGGACCAUCCUCCAAGGCUAAAUACUACUGACUGACCGAUAGUGAACUAGUACCGUGAGGGAAAGGCGAAAAGAACCCCGGAGAGGGGAGUGAAAUAGAUCCUGAAACCGUAUGCGUACAAGCAGUGGGAGCCCACUUUGUUGGGUGACUGCGUACCUUUUGUAUAAUGGGUCAGCGACUUAUUUUCAGUGGCGAGCUUAACCGAAUAGGGGAGGCGUAGCGAAAGCGAGUCUUAAUAGGGCGUCUAGUCGCUGGGAAUAGACCCGAAACCGGGCGAUCUAUCCAUGGGCAGGUUGAAGGUUGGGUAACACUAACUGGAGGACCGAACCGACUACCGUUGAAAAGUUAGCGGAUGACCUGUGGAUCGGAGUGAAAGGCUAAUCAAGCUCGGAGAUAGCUGGUUCUCCUCGAAAGCUAUUUAGGUAGCGCCUCAUGUAUCACUGUAGGGGGUAGAGCACUGUUUCGGCUAGGGGGUCAUCCCGACUUACCAAACCGAUGCAAACUCCGAAUACCUACAAGUGCCGAGCAUGGGAGACACACGGCGGGUGCUAACGUCCGUCGUGAAAAGGGAAACAACCCAGACCGUCAGCUAAGGUCCCAAAGUUAUGGUUAAGUGGGAAACGAUGUGGGAAGGCUUAGACAGCUAGGAGGUUGGCUUAGAAGCAGCCACCCUUUAAAGAAAGCGUAAUAGCUCACUAGUCGAGUCGGCCUGCGCGGAAGAUGUAACGGGGCUCAAACCAUACACCGAAGCUACGGGUAUCACUUAGGUGAUGCGGUAGAGGAGCGUUCUGUAAGCCUGUGAAGGUGAGUUGAGAAGCUUGCUGGAGGUAUCAGAAGUGCGAAUGCUGACAUGAGUAACGACAAUGGGUGUGAAAAACACCCACGCCGAAAGACCAAGGUUUCCUGCGCAACGUUAAUCGACGCAGGGUUAGUCGGUCCCUAAGGCGAGGCUGAAAAGCGUAGUCGAUGGAAAACAGGUUAAUAUUCCUGUACUUCUGGUUAUUGCGAUGGAGGGACGGAGAAGGCUAGGCCAGCUUGGCGUUGGUUGUCCAAGUUUAAGGUGGUAGGCUGGAAUCUUAGGUAAAUCCGGGAUUCUAAGGCCGAGAGCUGAUGACGAGUUACCCUUUGGGUGACGAAGUGGUUGAUGCCAUGCUUCCAAGAAAAGCUUCUAAGCUUCAGGUAACCAGGAACCGUACCCCAAACCGACACAGGUGGUUGGGUAGAGAAUACCAAGGCGCUUGAGAGAACUCGGGUGAAGGAACUAGGCAAAAUGGCACCGUAACUUCGGGAGAAGGUGCGCCGGUGAGGGUGAAGCACUUGCUGCGUAAGCCCACGCCGGUCGAAGAUACCAGGCCGCUGCGACUGUUUAUUAAAAACACAGCACUCUGCAAACACGAAAGUGGACGUAUAGGGUGUGACGCCUGCCCGGUGCCGGAAGGUUAAUUGAUGGGGUUAGCUAACGCGAAGCUCUUGAUCGAAGCCCCGGUAAACGGCGGCCGUAACUAUAACGGUCCUAAGGUAGCGAAAUUCCUUGUCGGGUAAGUUCCGACCUGCACGAAUGGCGUAACGAUGGCGGCGCUGUCUCCACCCGAGACUCAGUGAAAUUGAAAUCGCUGUGAAGAUGCAGUGUAUCCGCGGCUAGACGGAAAGACCCCGUGAACCUUUACUAUAGCUUUGCACUGGACUUUGAAUUUGCUUGUGUAGGAUAGGUGGGAGGCUUUGAAGCGUGGACGCCAGUUCGCGUGGAGCCAUCCUUGAAAUACCACCCUGGCAACUUUGAGGUUCUAACUCAGGUCCGUUAUCCGGAUCGAGGACAGUGUAUGGUGGGUAGUUUGACUGGGGCGGUCUCCUCCUAAAGAGUAACGGAGGAGUACGAAGGUGCGCUCAGACCGGUCGGAAAUCGGUCGUAGAGUAUAAAGGCAAAAGCGCGCUUGACUGCGAGACAGACACGUCGAGCAGGUACGAAAGUAGGUCUUAGUGAUCCGGUGGUUCUGUAUGGAAGGGCCAUCGCUCAACGGAUAAAAGGUACUCCGGGGAUAACAGGCUGAUACCGCCCAAGAGUUCAUAUCGACGGCGGUGUUUGGCACCUCGAUGUCGGCUCAUCACAUCCUGGGGCUGAAGCCGGUCCCAAGGGUAUGGCUGUUCGCCAUUUAAAGUGGUACGCGAGCUGGGUUUAGAACGUCGUGAGACAGUUCGGUCCCUAUCUGCCGUGGACGUUUGAGAUUUGAGAGGGGCUGCUCCUAGUACGAGAGGACCGGAGUGGACGAACCUCUGGUGUUCCGGUUGUCACGCCAGUGGCAUUGCCGGGUAGCUAUGUUCGGAAAAGAUAACCGCUGAAAGCAUCUAAGCGGGAAACUUGCCUCAAGAUGAGAUCUCACUGGGACCUUGAGUCCCCUGAAGGGCCGUCGAAGACUACGACGUUGAUAGGUGGGGUGUGUAAGCGCUGUGAGGCGUUGAGCUAACCCAUACUAAUUGCCCGUGAGGCUUGACCAU
This 2896-nucleotide ribosomal RNA is filed under the name Pseudomonas sp. A214. RNAcentral's name for it is "bacterial LSU rRNA". It matches the Rfam family "Bacterial large subunit ribosomal RNA". Lineage: Bacteria; Pseudomonadati; Pseudomonadota; Gammaproteobacteria; Pseudomonadales; Pseudomonadaceae. The record is from RNAcentral.